UGAGGAAUAUUGCACAAUGGGGGGAACCCUGAUGCAGCGACGCCGCGUGGGUGAUGACGGCCUUCGGGUUGUAAAGCCCUUUUGCCAUUGACGAGAACGGACGGUAGAUGGCGAAUAAGCCUCGGCUAACUACGUGCCAGCAGCCGCGGUAAAACGUAGGAGGCGAGCGUUAUCCGGAGUUACUGGGCGUAAAGCGUGCGCAGGCGGUGCCAUAAGUCAGGUGUGAAAGGUUCCGGCUCAACCGGGAAAACGCGCUUGAGACUGUGGGACUAGAGUGGGAUAGAGGGACGUGGAAUUCCGGGUGGAGCGGUGAAAUGUGUAGAGAUCCGGAGGAACACCAGAGGCGCAAGCGGCGUCCUGGGUCCCAACUGACGCUGAGGCACGAAAGCUUGGGGAGCGAACG
This 403-nucleotide ribosomal RNA is filed under the name uncultured bacterium. Its description in RNAcentral is "bacterial SSU rRNA". It matches the Rfam family "Bacterial small subunit ribosomal RNA", at positions 355 to 774 of the family's 1533-position model. The record is from RNAcentral.